This 71-nucleotide transfer RNA is filed under the name Loxodonta africana (African savanna elephant). It matches the Rfam family "tRNA". Rfam says of the family: Transfer RNA (tRNA) molecules are approximately 80 nucleotides in length. Their secondary structure includes four short double-helical elements and three loops (D, anti-codon, and T loops). Further hydrogen bonds mediate the characteristic L-shaped molecular structure. tRNAs have two regions of fundamental functional importance: the anti-codon, which is responsible for specific mRNA codon recognition, and the 3' end, to which the tRNAs corresponding amino acid is attached (by aminoacyl-tRNA synthetases). tRNAs cope with the degeneracy of the genetic code in two manners: having more than one tRNA (with a specific anti-codon) for a particular amino acid; and 'wobble' base-pairing, i.e. permitting non-standard base-pairing at the 3rd anti-codon position. Lineage: Eukaryota; Metazoa; Chordata; Mammalia; Proboscidea; Elephantidae. The record is from Rfam by way of RNAcentral.
GCAAUGGUGGUUCAGUGGUAGGAUUCUCACCUUCCAUGCGGGAGACUCGGGUUCCAUUCCCAGUCAACGCA